This 194-nucleotide unclassified non-coding RNA is filed under the name plant metagenome. RNAcentral's name for it is "partial contains small subunit ribosomal RNA, internal transcribed spacer 1, and 5.8S ribosomal RNA". The record is from RNAcentral.
UUUCCGUAGGUGAACCUGCGGAAGGAUCAUUACAGAGUUCAGGCCCGACAUGGUCGUCCUCCCACCCCUGUGUAUUAUUACUUUGUUGCUUUGGCGAGCGGCAGAUCGCCAGAAAAUACCAAAACUCCUCUUAUUCAUGUGGUCUGAGUACUAAAUAAUAGUUAAAACUUUCAACAACGGAUCACUUGGUUCUG